GGGGAUGUAGCUCAGCCGCAUAAGUGCCUGCCUGGCAAGCACGAGGUCCUGAGUUCAAUUCUCAGUACCA
Molecule: transfer RNA, 70 nt
Filed under: Cavia porcellus (domestic guinea pig)
Lineage: Eukaryota; Metazoa; Chordata; Mammalia; Rodentia; Caviidae
Rfam family: tRNA
About the family: Transfer RNA (tRNA) molecules are approximately 80 nucleotides in length. Their secondary structure includes four short double-helical elements and three loops (D, anti-codon, and T loops).
Source: Rfam by way of RNAcentral